GUGGGGAAUAUUGGACAAUGGGCGAAAGCCUGAUCCAGCAAUGCCGCGUGAGUGAUGAAGGCCCUAGGGUUGUAAAGCUCUUUUACCCGGGAUGAUAAUGACAGUACCGGGAGAAUAAGCUCCGGCUAACUUCGUGCCAGCAGCCGCGGUAAUACGAGGGGAGCUAGCGAUGUUCGGAAUUACUGGGCGUAAAGCGCGCGUAGGCGGUUUUUUCAGUCAGAGGUGAAAGCCCGGGGCUCAACCCCGGAAUAGCCUUUGAAACUGGAAAACUAGAAUCUUGGAGAGGUCAGUGGAAUUCCGAGUGUAGAGGUGAAAUUCGUAGAUAUUCGGAAGAACACCAGUGGCGAAGGCGACUGACUGGACAAGUAUUGACGCUGAGGUGCGAAAGCGUGGGGAGCAAACAGGAUUAGAUACCCGGGUAGUCC
This 425-nucleotide ribosomal RNA is filed under the name uncultured bacterium. RNAcentral's name for it is "partial 16S ribosomal RNA". It matches the Rfam family "Bacterial small subunit ribosomal RNA", at positions 354 to 796 of the family's 1533-position model. The record is from RNAcentral.